GUGGGGAAUAUUGGACAAUGGGGGGAACCCUGAUCCAGCCAUGCCGCGUGUGUGAAGAAGGCCUUUUGGUUGUAAAGCACUUUAAGCGAGGAGGAGGCUACCGAGAUUAAUACUCUUGGAUAGUGGACGUUACUCGCAGAAUAAGCACCGGCUAACUCUGUGCCAGCAGCCGCGGUAAUACAGAGGGUGCAAGCGUUAAUCGGAUUUACUGGGCGUAAAGCGCGCGUGGGUGGCCAAUUAAGUCAAAUGUGAAAUCCCCGAGCUUAACUUGGGAAUUGCAUUCGAUACUGGUUGGCUAGAGUAUGGGAGAGGAUGGUAGAAUUCCAGGUGUAGCGGUGAAAUGCGUAGAGAUCUGGAGGAAUACCGAUGGCGAAGGUAGCCAUCUGGCCUAAUACUGACACUGAGGUGCGAAAGCAUGGGGAGCAAACAGGAUUAGAAACCCCUGUAGUCC
This 451-nucleotide ribosomal RNA is filed under the name uncultured bacterium. RNAcentral describes it as "partial 16S ribosomal RNA". It matches the Rfam family "Bacterial small subunit ribosomal RNA", at positions 354 to 796 of the family's 1533-position model. The record is from RNAcentral.